AUAGAAGGGCGCAGGCGCUAGUUCAGUGCUCGUGAGGUAACUGGCGCUGGCCCACGCCGACUAAGGGAGACGCUCUAGGCACCGGGAUGGGGUCCCUGUCCCCGAGCUCUAGCGGGUCAGAACGCCUUCCUGGUCCGCGGCCGAGUUGAAAGUUGUUCCCACUCCCAUAAGUCCAAGGACCAGCGUCAGCUGUGUACCUGCCGAGCAGCCCUACUGAGGACUGUGCUCGGCCUCUGAAUAUCUAGACGGACACGAGCCAUACCCAGUGACGGCCCAAACCAGCGAACGCUGUCUGGCAACGUUUUUUGCAAUUUGUCUUAUUUAAAAACCAUAUACGGGCUUGGAGUGGUGGUGCCUGUGGUCCCACCUACUUGGAAGGCUGAGGUGGGAGGAUAACUCGAGCCCGAGAGGUCGACACCGCAGUAAGCGGUGCUCGCGCCACCGCACUCCAGCCUGGGCAACAGAGCGAGACCAUGUAUUAAAAAAAAAAAAAAAAUCCCCAGUCAUUUCUUCCGCUGUCAAACACCGUCUACAAGAUUCGAGUCAAACAACGUGAGAACUUGAAAUACGUCUCCAUUCUUUUUCCUUAGUACUCUCGUUCAUUCACUUACGGAACUGAUCUGCCUUACUAUUUCCACAAAAACUAGUCAUCAGCAAGAAGCUACCUGUGGGGUGCACAUUCUCAGGUCAAAUGACUUAGAAGCAACUUGAGGCAGUAUGGGAGCAUAAAAGACAGCCAGGAUGCCAAAGUCUCCGAGCAGUGAGUAGGAGUCUAAGAAGUUGGAAAGAUUCAUGGACCUCUUCCAGUAUGUGAAAGCCACAACUGUGGAGCAAAUGGGAAAGCAGGUCAGGAUCCAAGAAUUGUGACCACAAUUUUGGAUAUAAUUAGGGCACUGAGACCAGUCGGGAAGAAACCAAGGAUGAUCCGGGUAUAAACAAGGAGCAAAGCAUGCUGGAGAAUUUUGAAUGUUGAAGUGCAUGUCCAGCUCUAGAUGAAAGUUUCCUGCUAAAAGAGUUAGUGCCUGUGAGAGAGUCCCAGACAUUGCAGUCCUCAGUUUGUACUUCUUUCAUAAUGCUUAUGUUGGGCUUUGAAAGUGCUCAUUUCUCUUGCUAGUUUGUAAACUUCUGGAGGCCAAAGCCUGUGAUUCACCCUUGUUCACAUCACCUGCGUUGCCUAGUGCAGUGCAUUUACACGUUGAAAUUAUGGACUUGCACAGUGAUAAAGUUUGGAUAUGUGUCCCCCCACAGAUCUUAUGGAGGUGGGGCCUGGUGGGAGGUGAUUGGAUCAUGGGGAUUGAAUUUUCAUGAAUGAUUUAGUGCCAUCCCCUUGCUACUUUCCUCUCAAUAGUGAGCGAGUUCUUGCAAAAUCUGGUUAUUUAAAAGUGUGUGGCACCUCCCUUAACCCGGCUCCUGCCCUGGCCAUGUGAUGUGCCUGCUCCCUCUUCUGUCAUGAUUGUAAGUUUCCUGAGGCCUCCCCAGAAGCUGAGCAGAUGCCAGCAUCAUGCUUCCUACACAUUCUGCACAACCAUGAGCCAAUUAAACCUAUUUUCUUUAUAAAUUA
Molecule: long non-coding RNA, 1561 nt
Organism: Homo sapiens (human)
Lineage: Eukaryota; Metazoa; Chordata; Mammalia; Primates; Hominidae
Exons: 4
Source: RefSeq, a predicted model, not a curated record